ACGAAAACCUGYGAACACGUUYAAAAAUUCGCGUCGGGCGUCGGGGUAAAACCUGCGCCCCUCGCCACCUGCCCGGCCGAACGGCGACCAUACCGGGCUGUCGGUCGCGUCGGGCAACCGAAUCAAAAAUCGGCGCGGGAAGCGCCAAGGACUUUACGAAAUGGGAUGCCUUCCUGCGGAGAGGGGCCGUUCGCGGAUUCCUCGCCGUGGGGCUAGAGGCGCCUCCGAACGAAACAUUACACGACUCUCGGCAACGGAUAUCUAGGCUCUCGCAUCGAUGAARAACGUAGCAAACUGCGAUACUUGGUGUGAAUUGCAGAAUCCCGUGAACCAUCGAGUCUUUGAACGCAAGUUGCGCCCGAAGCCAUUAGGCCGAGGGCACGUCUGCCUGGGCGUCACGCAUCGCGUCGCCCCCCCUUGGACCCUGUGCAUGGAGUCCCUCACCGAGGGACGACCGGCACGACCAGCGACCCCAG
This 476-nucleotide unclassified non-coding RNA is filed under the name Hoya brevialata. Its description in RNAcentral is "sequence contains 18S rRNA gene, ITS1, 5.8S rRNA gene, ITS2 and 28S rRNA gene". The stretch from base 243 to 398 matches the Rfam family "5.8S ribosomal RNA". The record is from RNAcentral. Lineage: Eukaryota; Viridiplantae; Streptophyta; Magnoliopsida; Gentianales; Apocynaceae.